AGCGGAGUGACGAGCAAUGGAAGCUCACUUGGCUCAUAACCAAGAGUAUGCAGGUUCGAGUCCUGUUUCCGCAA
RNAcentral lists this transfer RNA (74 nucleotides) under Agathobacter rectalis. RNAcentral's name for it is "[Eubacterium] rectale tRNA-Met". It matches the Rfam family "tRNA". From Rfam's summary of the family: Transfer RNA (tRNA) molecules are approximately 80 nucleotides in length. Their secondary structure includes four short double-helical elements and three loops (D, anti-codon, and T loops). Further hydrogen bonds mediate the characteristic L-shaped molecular structure. tRNAs have two regions of fundamental functional importance: the anti-codon, which is responsible for specific mRNA codon recognition, and the 3' end, to which the tRNAs corresponding amino acid is attached (by aminoacyl-tRNA synthetases). tRNAs cope with the degeneracy of the genetic code in two manners: having more than one tRNA (with a specific anti-codon) for a particular amino acid; and 'wobble' base-pairing, i.e. permitting non-standard base-pairing at the 3rd anti-codon position. Lineage: Bacteria; Bacillati; Bacillota; Clostridia; Lachnospirales; Lachnospiraceae. RNAcentral also lists the same sequence under 2 other names. The record is from RNAcentral.